RNAcentral lists this ribosomal RNA (538 nucleotides) under uncultured bacterium. RNAcentral's name for it is "bacterial SSU rRNA". It matches the Rfam family "Bacterial small subunit ribosomal RNA", at positions 355 to 896 of the family's 1533-position model. The record is from RNAcentral.
UAGGGAAUAUUCCACAAUGAGCGAAAGCUUGAUGGAGCGACACAGCGUGCACGAUGAAGGCCCUCGGGUUGUAAAGUGCUGUUGCAAGGGAAGAACAGUUAGUUGAGGAAAUGCUUCUAAUCUGACGGUACCUUGUUAGAAAGCGAUGGCUAACUAUGUGCCAGCAGCCGCGGUAAUACAUAGGUCGCAAGCGUUAUCCGGAAUUAUUGGGCGUAAAGCGUUCGUAGGCUGUUUAUUAAGUCUGGAGUCAAAUCCCAGGGCUCAACCCUGGCUCGCUUUGGAUACUGGUAAACUAGAGUUAGAUAGAGGUAAGCGGAAUUCCAUGUGGAGCGGUGAAAUGCGUAGAUAUAUGGAAGAACACCAAAGGCGAAGGCAGCUUACUGGGUCUAUACUGACGCUGAGGGACGAAAGCGUGGGGAGCAAACAGGAUUAGAUACCCUGGUAGUCCACGCUGUAAACGAUGAUCAUUAGUCGGUGGAAAACUACUGACGCAGCUAACGCAUUANUGAUCCGCCUGAGUAGUAUGCUCGCAAGAGUG